RNAcentral lists this unclassified non-coding RNA (4364 nucleotides) under Hevea brasiliensis (rubber tree). The record is from RNAcentral. Lineage: Eukaryota; Viridiplantae; Streptophyta; Magnoliopsida; Malpighiales; Euphorbiaceae.
AUUUCAUCAUGAACUUGGCCUAGCCCUCCACCUAUCUGUCUAGACCCUCUCUGCUUAUCUAUAUAUACAUAUAUAUAUAGUCCUGAUUGCCUCCAACACAAUCCAAUUCAUACCUCUCCAUCUUGUACCCAAAAAACAACUCAUCCCUUCUUUUCCUUUUACGACUACAGCAGCAACGAAGAGAUAAAAUUUAAGAAAAGGAAAGUAUGGACGGAAGCUGCAUAGAUGAGAGUACUACUAGUGACUCCAUAUCCAUAUCCAUAUCCAUUACCCCGAAGUCCGCUGUCUCUUCCUUUCCUCCGCCAACUAAAUCUCCUGAAUCUCCUCUUUGCCGCGUUGGCAGCGGCUCCAGUGUGAUUCUCGAUUCUGAAUCCGGCGUAGAAGCUGAGUCCCGUAAACUCCCUUCCUCUAAAUACAAAGGCGUCGUUCCCCAACCAAACGGCCGCUGGGGCGCCCAGAUUUACGAGAAGCAUCAGCGUGUCUGGCUCGGUACAUUCAAUGAGGAAGACGAGGCUGCCAAAGCCUAUGACAUCGCUGCUCAGAGGUUCCGUGGCCGUGAUGCCAUCACUAACUUCAAGCCUCAGGGUGCUGAAACUGAGGAGGACGAUAUCGAAACCGCUUUCUUGAACUCCCAUUCCAAAGCUGAAGUCGUUGAUAUGCUCAGGAAACACACGUACAACGAUGAACUGGAACAGAGCAAGCGAAACUACAGAAUUGAUGGGCAAGGAAAGCAGCAUCGAAACCCAGGCGCCAAUAAUGUUGCACUCUCUGGGUCGGGACGCGUUCUGAAAGAACGUGAACAGCUUUUCGAGAAAGCGGUGACCCCGAGCGACGUUGGGAAACUGAACCGCUUGGUUAUACCCAAACAACACGCAGAAAAAUACUUCCCUUUACAGAGCGGAAGCAAUAGCACAAAAGGGGUGCUGCUAAAUUUCGAGGAUAUUACAGGCAAAGUGUGGAGAUUUCGCUACUCUUAUUGGAACAGUAGCCAGAGCUAUGUGAUGACCAAAGGUUGGAGCCGGUUCGUCAAGGAAAAGAAGCUUGAUGCAGGCGAUGUCGUGUCAUUUCAGCGAGGCGUUGGCGAGUCAGGGAAGCAUCAUUUAUACAUAGACUGGAGACGCAGGCCUAAUGCACCAGAUCCAACAUUGUUUGCACAUUUAGAGCUGCAAAAUCAGCUACGCUUCCAACAGUCGGUGAGUUGGGGUAGGCUCUACUCGCUGCCUCAGCCUUUGUCGUCUAUUCCACGACCAUAUGAACAACCUCAAUUCCAGCAUUUGAGUUACAGUAUUCAUCAUCAUCAUCAACCUUAUCAUCAAUAUCAUUAUCAUCAACAGGCGCAGCAUUACUUAAGACCAGCAGGGGCACUUCCAAUUGGGGCAGUGUAUCAACAAGGAGGGGAUCAAGCACCAGCGGUGGUUGAUUCAGUUCCAGUUGUUCACGGAAGAAGUGUGGGAAAGCGGUUGAGGCUUUUCGGUGUAAACAUGGAGUGUCCAGCACAAGAUGAUCAGUCUUCUUCUUCUUCUCCUCCUUCUUCUUGUUCUUUUGUUACCCUACCAGCACAUGGAAGUACUACAACCAUGAGUUCGUUCUCGCCUUUUUUAGCUUCCUCACCUCUUCAGCCUCCCCAGUCAAGGGUACACAGUAGUUCAAUGCCAACAACGCAAGAAGCUGAGUUUUCAAAGAAAGGAAAGACCUCCUUAUCUUUUGAUUUGGAUCUUUGAUGAUCACACUUACAUCGAUCAAGUGAAGAAGCAAGAGAUAUAUAUACACCAUUUCUUUUGUUAGUAGCGGUACUCCACAUCUAAUUUUGCCAUAUGGGUACUGAAUAUUCAUAAAAAUUUCAGUUUUUUUUAGGGGGGGUUUCUUAAUUUCCCCUCCUUCAUUUAAUCUGUUCUAAUCAUUACUACAUCAUCAGUUUACCUGAGAUUGAGAUUCGUGGAGAGCUAGCAAAAGAGCUAGCAGUGCAAUAUAUAUAUAUGUGGAGUUGAAAAUAUCCCUUUUUAUUCCUUUUUUUUUUUUUCUUACAGUGUAUAAUUAUUACACAUAUAUACAAAUAAUUAAAAAUGAGCACAUUUUCAUCAUGCUAAUUUCAUUGAUUGACAUUUUUUUUCCUUUAGUAGAGACUGGAUUUGCCUAUAACUGCAUACAAGGUGGAUGGUGUCUUCCCAUUAGUUUGUUUGGGUUACAUUUGUUUCCUCUCCUUAGAUAUCAACUGUACUUUCUCUCUUUCUCUGUGACAGUGAUCUUAUGGUACAUUGGAAGAGGAUGAAUGGAAAUAUAUAUAUGCAUAUAUAGAGAGAGUGCAGUAGUCUCUUUCUUCUUUCUCUAUCUUUUGUUCCUAUUACCUUACUAGGAUAAUAUUGUAGCUGGCUGCUGCUACUACUGCUGCUAUUGCUUAGUUAGGUGAUGUGCAGAAAAGUUUUCAGCGCUGCAAAAGCACACAUUCUUGUCCGGAUAAAUUGGAGCACACCCAUAAAAAGUCCUCUAUCCUGAAAGUUAAUUUCUCAAAAAUCAGGUAUAUCCUUAUUCAAUACUGGAUUCCACUCAAACUUUUGUUUAGUGCCUUUUGAACUUCACUUACUUACUGAAAAUCUUUUGUAAUGAAUUCUCUCUCUAUUUACAUGAAGGUUGAAUUGAACAUCUUAUGGUUAAUUAAGACUUCACCUAGGCUUACCACUACCAAGCUAUUUACAUUGGCUGUGUUGCCUAUUGAAUUAGUAACUGGAAUCUUUAGUCUAUGCAUAGUGUUUAUAAUAAAUAUAUAUAAGCAAGAGAGUUAUAUCUUCCAUAAAUUUUCCAAUUCUAUGGUACAAAUCUUUACUGCAUCUAACAACCUUCUAAUUAAGAAGGAAUUUAAAUUAUUUUUUUUUUCUUCGGGCGAAUAGCAUUCUAAAGCUUUGUUGCUUUAAGCAAAUCAAUCAGAAGCUCCAAGGAAACUUCGUCUGUAGUCAAGCCCAUCAUGUUGAAGUUGGAAUUUCCCUUCAUGGAUAGAACUCCUACAAGUCUUCUUUUAUGGUAUGUGUAUACUAUUUACAACCAGAUUUCAUGAUAAAGAGAAUAGCAAGAGCUUAAAUUAAAUAGAAUUUAAAAAGGGAAAAGGGUCCAAAACUUAAUUUUUGGAUUGAAUAAUAUACAUAUCCUUCAACUCCACAUAUGUAUAUACCGAUAGGUGAUAUAUUAUAUGUUUUCUAAUAAUGUCUGAUUAACAAAAUCAACUGAAGUAAAAUAACAAGAAAGAGAAAAAAUUAAUGAAAACACUUUUUGAUUUAAUUUAAUUUCUUCCACUAUCUGGGCUACCAAAUGAAGGGCAUAAAUAUGCAUGUGAUAAAUACAUAAACAAAGCUCUUGGAACUCUAAAACAUAUGUUUGAUUGAUGUAUGACUUUGUAUGCUUGUAGAUAUAUGCUUUAUCGAUACAAACAAUAUAUAGUGAUGAUUUAGAAAAUUUAUUUUAUUCAUUAUUUUAAAAAAUUAAAGAAGUAUUAAUUAUUUUUCUUAAACUUUAUUUUUAUCUAUUAUUCUCAAUAUAUUUAUUUCUUUUUAUCACCUUUCCAUAGUCUAAGGGUAUUUUAAUUAAUUAUUAGUUUUUUUAUAAAAAUAUUAUUUUUUUAAUAUUUAUGUAAAAUUAAAAAAAAAAUACUUAAAAUGAAACAAAGAGAGUAUUUAUUAGCAAUCUUUAUAUUUAGGUGAGAAUUUUGGACAGAAAAAAAAUGUAAUUCCAAUGAUGUUUGAAUUUGAAACUGCAUGAACUAAUCAAAUUUGGGCUACUGAUUAUUGACUUGAAUAUGUUGUUGAAUGCAAGGCAAAUAAUUAACAACUUCUAUGUGGACAAGUUUAUUUAAUUUUAGCCAACAAAAACGGCAUGUGUGGGGCCUUGAUCAUGAUUUCUAUGCUGAAGUAGCCAAUCAAUUCAUAUAAAAGGGUAAGACUUAUCCAUUAUUGACUAUUCACUUUCCACAUUAUUGUAGCUAAAAUAGUGACAUUAUAUGGUUAUAAAUAAAAAAAAAAAAAUUAAUUGACACUAAUUAGCCAAAAAAUGCACAGUAUGCCAAAGUUAAAUUACUGCAGCAUGUGACAGUUGAUUGAAUGUUUUUCCAAUUUUACUGGAAUAUGGUGAGGUUAAUAUUUUUUUUUUUAAAGUUUUAAAUUUGAAUGGUCUUUAUUUUCAAUUUGAUAUUUUGUUAAAAUUUUAUGAUUCUUAACAUAAAUUUAUAUUUAUUUUAUGUUUGUCCACUGAUUAAAUUAAUACAGAAAAAUAAGAUAGUUUGAAACCCUGGAGGAUUUAUGUUUUUAAUUAGGAGUGGUGCAGUUCAGCUUGGCUUAUUUACUGUACUUGCUCAUGAAGGCAAUGCUAAGUGAGAUGUA